Pan troglodytes (chimpanzee) is the source of this 3796-nucleotide long non-coding RNA. RefSeq lists it as uncharacterized. NCBI's taxonomy places the organism in Eukaryota, Metazoa, Chordata, Mammalia, Primates, Hominidae. The record is from RefSeq and is a predicted model, not a curated record. The transcript is spliced from 3 exons.
UAAUAUCUGAUUAUUUCUUUCAGAUUGAUUCCUUGGAGUGGAAUUAGUAAAAAGGAUAUGAAUAUUUUUAAGUCUCUUGAUAUGUCAGACUGAUUUCCAGAAGGCUUGUACCAAUUUACUCUUCUACCGACAACUUUUCACCACCUGGAAGUGGGGAGUCAGCUCCAGCACAGAGCUUUGCAGGAGGACAAAAGAGACGAUGUGGAUAAAGUGCUCUACAGAUCAUCAGGGGCGGCAAAGGUGAGUAUUACUGUUAGAUGUGUGCAAUAUUUGACUCGCUUCGGAGACUAUAUUUAAGAGAUGGUCUCUGAGGAAUCUUGAAUCAGAAACAGUGUUCACCUCCUCCUGAAGUAGUGCCUGCCCUCACUUUGUGCCUGGCCCCAGUCUUUCCAGGAGGGACAAAAUGCCCUCCUAGAUUCCCACUAAGUACCAGAAACUCAGUAGGACCUCAGCUUCCCCCCUCAGCCUUGACCGGGUGCCCCCAUGCAGGGGUGAGAAAGGUGCAAGUUCAUCCAGGGCACUCAGGAGACCCACUGGGAGGCUGGAGGCUGGUGGCCUCAGAUGCUUUCAAAUCUUCUCCAGGGGGACACCACCCUGGAGUGGCCUGGGGGGCAGAGCAGGCUCUGCCGAGGAGAGCACUGGGGCUUCCACUGGAUGCUGGAUGGGAGUUAGCCAAGAUUCUCUCUGCCCAGAUCUCAAGGUCUUGGCACAUGGGGACUGGGAGGCCCACAUGCUUCUGUAUCCUGUGUGCAGCUGUCUGUGGGGUGGUAUAGAGCCAACUGGGGUGGAGUGGCACGGGGGUGGGGACUCACCAAAACUGAUGGCACUCCCCAGAGAACAUGUCUCUGUGGCCAUCCGUGGAUCUGUGAGUGCAGACCUAGAAGUCACUGUGAAUUUUGCCAAGGACGACAUCCCAGGUUAUAAAGCUGCCACUGGAUUCACCAUGAUUGCACCUGUUAUUGUCACAGGUUCAGUUGGCUGCACUCAGUGGGGCAGGCGGAGUCACCAGGGCUGCCUCUGCUUGCCAAGGAGCCCUGCCACGGGUUGUCCCUAGGCCAGGGAUGGGAGCGGGAGCUGCGUCCACUCUCACUCCCAGCCCCGCCACAACGGCAACUCGCUCCCUGUGAAAUCUGCGACUCUACACUGGGACAUGACAAAUGACCAAAAAAUCAAUUUGUAAUCUGAUUGGAGGUUUUUGAUUUCCUCUGAUGAGUUUAAAUUUCAUUAAAAGCAACCUUAUUCCAACAUAAAAGGAAUCCUUGAAGGGUAAAACGGGGGAUUGUCUCACCGAGUAUAAAGCAUCCCAACUCUUUUGUGUGAUUUAUUCAUGGCAUUAAUUGUGAGGGCCAACCUGUGGUGUCCGUUGGCAGCUGCGCCGUUAUCAGGGCCUGGGAUCGGCCCAGCGAGCUCAAAGCACAAGGACUCACAUUCAAAAAUCACUCUUCGGCAUAUUGACACUUCAGUUAUCAACAACCGUUUUUAUCUGCUGGGAGGGAGAUCGCAGCUCGUGGGGCCGGAGUAAGCCACAGAUCACUGCCGCCGCCGCCUCUCUGCAUUCUCUUAAUUGUAUGUAUUCUCUGGAAAAAAUGAUCAUCGUGGCCUCUUGUCUUGAUGAGAAAUUGACAUUUCUGAGGACUUCUUUGGGCGCUCCGAGCAAGCGAGAUAAGGCGUGGGUUGUUUUAGAGGAGAGCAGCGUUUCUUCCCUUUCAGGGGCCUCUUUACUGCUUGCGUUGACCCACUUGAUGAGUAUGGAUUUCAUGAGGUCUUUUUCAGCAUUUGAACUAUAAAAGGUUCAGAAUGACACCACCCCUUAUAGACAAAAGAUAACCUUGCCCUUUGAAUAUAUCGAUUCUUUAUUAACUAGGCUGUUUAAUGCAAUGAAAUGAGGCAUUAGAUUGAAGCCCAUUUCAAGUGCUUUGAAUAAUCUUUAAAAGCUUGAAAGACCUUAAAAGGCGGCCUGACAAUAAUUGGCAUGCAUUUUGAAAGAAGGCAGUUCUUGCUUCUGAUUUGAAACACAAACAUAAAAUAAUUUCUCCAUCCCCGGGUUACAGGGCGUUGGGUACUCAUGGCACCAGCGCAGAAUGGGAAGGUGGUGACUUGCCCAGCAACUGCUUGUCCCAGCCCCAGCCCCAGCCCCAGCCUCCAGCCACUUGGAAGGGAGCCUGCAGGGGAGGGGAGUGGGCAGGCUUCAGGCUUGUACCUUAUAAGCCUCUCUCUUUGCUGUCUCUUUAAGGCUGAAAUGAGAACCUGAUUGUCAAUGACACGACAAAAAGGUAUUCACAAGUUUCUUUAUGUUUUGAAUAAUUGUUUCCUGUUUUGCUCAGCAGAACAAGUAAUUAAGAUGACAUUUGUGAGUACUAAUUUGGAUCACACUUAUGUGUAUGUGUUAUAAAGCUGCAAGCCAAAACAUGCAAACCCAGCCUUUCACGGAGGAGAAAAUGAAAAAAUACUGAGUGAAAUGGGAGCAUGGGAAACUCGGAGGAGCUGAACAUCAGCGUGUAAAUUAGAACCUCAGUGUUGAUAGCAGAUCUCAUUAUAGUCGGUGCAUUUGGCUACCGACGUGCAGCCAGCAGUGCCCGGGGCUAGUGCAUGGGGUCUGCUGUGCCACUGUGGUGGCAGUGGCAUCCGUGAUGCCCCUCUUGCAGAACAUAGGCGGCGCAGGCAUCUGGGUGCCCUGGUAUCUGCACACCUAUCCAGAGCCUUUGCUGCUGUGUCACUCUUCUAAGCCUGGUUCUUGCCCAGUGGAACCCAACCAUGGAACCAAAAGAAGCAUGUGUCUGGGGUCACCGGAGCCGUUGUUCUCUACCUGCCCAGUGCGCUAUUCAGAAGCAGAGGGGCUGGGGCAGAAGGUCUGGAGGGAGUGGGCUAUGAAGCCCCUCAGUGAGCCUUGGGAUUGUUUGAGUUCUCAAAGACAAGUGCUGGAACAGUGAUUGUGUCACCCCAGUGCUGCUGUGGCCCACAGAACAUCUGUGACACAGAAACAUCAGCCAGAGUGCAGCAUGAAUACAGAUGGCACCUCUGGGGGUCAGGACCACGUAAGUGACAAUUUGCUGAACCUCUCUUUCUAUGCAGGUUAGAGGACGGAGGCUGGAUAACUUUGUGGAAAGUUCCUCUGUGGAUCAUUUUUAUCUUGGCCAAGUUGCAGCUUCAGAACCCGGUCUGGGCUCUGACCGUGCGGUCACCUCUCUGUAUCGUAAUGGUGAGUCAGGGGCUCUCCAGAAUCAAAGCCACUCACAGCCCACCUGCCCUGGAACCUCCAGGCAAGGGCCACGGAGAGAUGUGAGUCACGGCACCGCCUCGGGACCUUUUUUCUCUUCUCAGGAAAGAAGAGAAAACUUUGCACGAAAACGCCAAGUGGGGCUGACGCUUUCACAUGAACUCCUGGUACGAAUGUAAUUUAAAAUCUUUUACCGCUGGUGUUGUUUAAUUUUUGUCAGAAUGAUCGUUCUCAUUAAUUUAUGUAUAACAUAUUAAUACAUUUGUUCAUGUAGUGACGUGAGCUUCAAUUUCUCAGUUCAUUAAUUUCAACAAUAUUAAUUUAUCUCCGACUCACCGUUACAACUUUACGGUUUGGAAGCCCUGUGCGUACACAACGCGUAGGAGGUGCCGUCUUUCAGCCGGCCCGACCCCGUGGCACGGGCAGGGCCGCGGCACCUCACCACCUGCCUCUGCAACGACCCUGGUGUGGUGCCCGCUGAUGGCACGCAGGCCAGUCGGCGGCACUUCGGGGGCCUGGGCGUCCCUUCAUACGCUAACGGAUGUUGUGAAGACAAUGAUUUCAAAUCACUGAUACCUU